AUUGAACGCUGGCGGCAGGCCUAACACAUGCAAGUCGAACGAGUGGCGGCCGGGUGAGUAAUGUCUGGGAAACUGCCCGAUGGAGGGGGAUAACUACUGGAAACGUUAGCUAAUACCGCAUACCAUCGGAUGUGCCCAGAUGGGAUUAGCUAGUAGGUGGGGUAACGGCUCACCUAGGCGACGAUCCCUAGCUGGUCUGAGAGGAUGACCAGCAAAGCGGGGACUGAGACACGGCACAGAUUCCUACGGGAGGCAGCAGUGGGGAAUAUUGCGCAAUGGGGGCAAACCUGACGAAGCAAUGCCGCGUGAAUGAAGAAGGCCUUCGGGUUGUAAAGUUCUUUCGGUAGAGAGGCGUUAACUACAGAAGAAGCACCGGCUAACUCCGUGCCAGCAGCCGCGGUAAUAC
Molecule: ribosomal RNA, 406 nt
Filed under: uncultured bacterium
Lineage: Bacteria
Description: partial 16S ribosomal RNA
Rfam family: Bacterial small subunit ribosomal RNA
Source: RNAcentral